RNAcentral lists this ribosomal RNA (2310 nucleotides) under Triticum aestivum (bread wheat). RNAcentral's name for it is "partial small subunit ribosomal RNA". Lineage: Eukaryota; Viridiplantae; Streptophyta; Magnoliopsida; Poales; Poaceae. The record is from RNAcentral.
AUGUCAAACAUGAGCGAACAGUGCUCUAAUGAUGCAUUGGAGUACUUCGCUAAGGAGGUAGGACUUCGACGGCCGAUUUUGCGAGUCAAUGCUCUCAUGGUGGUUAUGGGCAUCUUGAUGGGGCUCAUGGUGGGGAUAGGCGCUUACGGUCAUCGCUACCGGCACAUUCCACUGAUCCGUUUUCUCUAUCUGGCUGCCACCACAUUGUUCCUGCCCAUCGUCUCUUAUAUUGUCUCUUCCAGUGGAUUAGACAUUGGACAAUCGAUCAUCAUGCUAUAUAAAGGUGUGAUAAUGAAAGGGGAUUGUCGAGCAGCGGGACACGUCCUCUUGGUCCUUGUAUGGGCGGCUCUGGUUCUGAUUAUUGGUAUAAAUUCGAAUUCACUAGUUGCCGCAGAUGCCAGAGAAGGCCGAAGCAUUCCUCCCAAUAUGACCCUUCUCAUUCAAGCAGUGUGGACCUCCUACCUAGGGAUAUACAUAUGCAUCGUAAAUGGUAUUUCACCUCUGGGGAUAUUAGUGAUUCUUGGUCCGCUUGGUGUUAUAUUUGCCAAAUUAGUUCUGAAGUGUUAUGCUUGGUACAUAGCCAGACAAUCAUUAGCCUUUGGACGCAGUCCUCGUCUUAUUGUUGGAUACAUGGAGAAGCUGCAGGAUGGAAGCCAUCAUGCCGAGUUAGCAAGUGAGCAUAUGCCUCCUCCACUUAUAGUUAAUGGAGAGCACACCAUGAAGGUGCAGGAGAAGUCUUGUGGCUAUGAAUUAAAUUGGAUGUUAAACGGAGUGAGAAGUGAUAUGUACAGCAAAGACUUAGUGACCUUUGACAAAGUUUGGCAGCUGAAUGGCACACUUCUAGGAUCGAAAUCACUACAACUAAAAGAACUAUGCUUUUCAUUCGCAUUAUUUAAACUGUUACGGUGUCGAAUUGCAAGGUACAACAUUAUUGAGGUUGGUUUCAGCAAGGGUCGUAACUUCUUAGGACAAAUCUUGCUUGAGGAUAGUGCUGGUGAAAGAGUACCUGCAAUGAUUGCACAUGAGCUUUCUUUUCUCUAUGAUUAUUAUUAUUCAUCACUUCCAAUCUCAUAUUCAAAGAGUUGGCUGCCAAACGUGAGCGGAUUCAUUUCGGUACUAAACAUCUGUUACUGCAUAUUCAUAAUUUCGAUGAUGAUUUAUAUUGUUAUCAUGGCUCCUUUGUCACGGGAAUCAAAUAAAGGACAGAUUAGUUGUUAUGUGUACUGCAAGGACAUUUCUUAUGACAUUGAAGGAAGACUGGUAUCUUUUGGAAUCAUAUACUUUGAUAUAAUACCAGCAUGUAUACUUGCCGUAUUAGUUAUGCUUACUGAGGCAAGGGACAUUGCAUUUUACACCCGCUCUAACUGGGUUAAAGUAGGCUUGGUAUGUCAAUAUGUGAAGCAUGGUUCCUGGCCAUCAUCUGCUACCAUGAAGAGAUAUGUUAACUCAGUGCUACGGAGUAAAGGGAAGUUGACAAGGAAUUGGGAGGACAAAAUGGGCCAGUCCUCAAUUUUGGUGCUCCACCCAGGGAAAAAUUCAAUGGCUCUUCUUCGUCAUCUCAUUCCUCUGUCAGGCCAAAAUAAGAAGACACCAAGUGCAGUGAAAUCUGCCAUAGUCGGAGCACUGAGAAAAAGCUAUGAGAGAGGACAGAUCAAUGGUGAUGUGUUUUCUUUCCAAAGGAUGCUGCAUCUUCAAGACGACAACAAGAUAAUUUGGACGUUUGGGGAAAGAGGCACAACGGAAAUCAUGCUUGUGUGCCACAUUGCUACUACACUCCUUGGAGCUAGGUCACCACUACAUAAACAACCUCCGUUUGACUCUGACAACAUGUCUGUUGCUAAUCACCUAUCGGGGUAUUGCGCCUACAUGGCAGCGCACUAUCCUGAGCUACUUCCUGAAGAUGAUGAAUGGUGCAAGAGCCUGUACAAGGCCGUCGAGAAAGACGCUGAGCGCGUACUGGUCGGCAAUGAUUUCCGCGAUUCGGCGGCAUCUGAACUGGAGUACCGGAGGAGGUUGAUUGAGUUACUAAGCGCAGAGGGAAACCAUGAGGUGCUAAAGGAUGGUGCCAGGCUUGCGGAGCGAUUGAUUGGGCUGACUGAAGAAGUAGAGGAGAUGGCGUGGAAGGCCCUUGCUGUGUUUUGGUCGGAGAUGGUCUUGUAUGUCGCUCCAUCGGACAACAUCGACGGUCAUAUGAAGGCGCUCGCUCGCGGCGGCGAGCUGAUAACCCUCCUCUGGGCUUUGGUCACCCACCUCGGCGUCGUUGGUAGGUCCGACGACACCACUACCGAUGGUGCUAAUGUCCAUGUGUAA